CCUACGGGAGGCAGCAGUCGAGAAUCUUCGGCAAUGGACGCAAGUCUGACCGAGCGACGCCGCGUGCGGGAUGAAGGCCUUCGGGUUGUAAACCGCUGUCAGAGGGGAUGAAGUGUACGGGAGUUAUCUCCUGUAUUUGACAGAGCCUCAGAGGAAGCACGGGCUAAGUUCGUGCCAGCAGCCGCGGUAAUACGAACUGUGCGAACGUUAUUCGGAAUCACUGGGCUUAAAGGGUGCGUAGGCGGCUGCCUAAGUCAGGUGUGAAAUCUCUCGGCUCAACCGGGAAACUGCGCUUGAUACUGGGCGGCUCGAGUGAGGUAGGGGUGUGUGGAACUUCCGGUGGAGCGGUGAAAUGUGUAGAUAUCGGAAGGAACGCCAGCAGCGAAAGCGGCACACUGGGCCUUUUCUGACGCUGAGGCACGAAAGCUAGGGGAGCGAACGGGAUUAGAUACCCCGGUAGUCCUAGCCGUAAACACUGAACACUCGAGGAGGGGGCUUCGGCCUUCUUUCUCUUAGCGAAAGCGUUAAGUGUUCCGCCUGGGGAGUAUGGUCGCAGGCUGAAACUCAAAGGAAUUGACGG
RNAcentral lists this ribosomal RNA (580 nucleotides) under uncultured bacterium. RNAcentral's name for it is "bacterial SSU rRNA". It matches the Rfam family "Bacterial small subunit ribosomal RNA", at positions 338 to 916 of the family's 1533-position model. The record is from RNAcentral.